This is a long non-coding RNA of Carassius auratus (goldfish), 5146 nucleotides long. The record is from Ensembl. Lineage: Eukaryota; Metazoa; Chordata; Actinopteri; Cypriniformes; Cyprinidae.
UGUUUAUAAAGUUACAAAAUUGUUUUUCUUCAUGCUGGAAUAAUUUUGCUGAAAAGGACCACCAGUUGCUAACGGGGCACUGUGUUCAUAUCAGAGCACCACUCAACAGCGCCGAACAAGACAAGGUGAAAGCUGAUUCGCUGGAAGCGAAAAACGUCACUUCCGUAAGUUCGUUAAGUACGUGAGACACACGUUACUCAGCCACUUUUUUCUGGAUCGUUGGAGAGUAAGCAGCGUGAGCUUCUUUGGGACUUAAAAGCUUGUGGUUUUCUAUUUUAACCACUAGAUCAUUUACUUUUUGGCAACCAAAGACUAACCUUUUAUUGGUAAUGUGUCUUGAAUUUACAACAAUGAAAGGAAACUUCCAGAAGGACAUCAAGGCCGCGUCUGAUCUCAAGAAAAAGUGGUCAAAAUCAAAGAGGACUUUUCUGCGUGCAAAUAUGGGAGAAAGGAGGCGGAAGGUCCGCGUUUGGUCGGCCAGGAGACCCCAGCUGAGUCCGGGCCGUGUCGACGGUAACGUUACAGCUAGCGCCACGCAGAAGCAAAGUCACGUACCGUCUGUAGCCAUGGCACCAAGAAACACAACGCAGUAUCUAAUGGACCUGGUGUACGCUGACCUAUCAUAUGUUUGUGAUAUCUUUGGACUUCCAACAGAGAGACUUCGAGAACGUGUUCUACAGGAAUGAAAUCUGACGCGUUUCCGAAACCUGACUUGGACUUCGUCGGAAUGAGACGACUGGGCAGCCGUGAACGCAUAAGACAGUAAUAAGUGCGUGCAAACAGUGCCUUCAUUGUUAGCCCUGUACAAAUAUGAAAUCGUAUCAGACAAUAUGUAUUGAAGCCAAGGCGUUCCAACACAAUGCUUUUGAGUUGCAUGUUACGAGUUGAAUGUGGUUUCAUUUGUCGGCUCUCCUUGUUCUCACAGCAUUGCGCAGACUCCAACUCAGGGAGGCGGAACGCUCUGCGUCACUGCUGCGUGAUGACGUGUACACCACGCCCCGCCGCCAGCAAGGCCGCCACCACGUGGCCAGCAGGUAAACACGCUCCACCCUUUGUGUACGCGGUGUAAGAGCGCUGCAGUAGCGUGUUGUCGCAGUGUAAUUACUGAGAAAUGUGCAUGCAUUGUUCUGCCAACGGAUGCAUGUGUGUUUUGGGAGACUUUUACAGGUUGCUGAUCCUCCUCGGUGGAUCUCAGCUGUCUGUGCAACCCAUCCAGAGCCUUGGGAAAAGCCGCAUGGCUGCUUGCUCAUCGCUGCAGGGUAACUGUGGUAAAUGUUUGAAUGUAAAUCUACAUGCACUCAGAGUUGCAACUCCUGUGAUCUGAUCUACUUUGAGAAAUUAUGUAAAUAUUGAUUGUAUUAAAUAUUAAAAUUUGUUAAUUAAGUUACAUCUGAGAUGUUCUUUUGUGUUUAUUAAACAUUAAUGUGUACGUUACAAUGCAUUCAGAUAUUAUUUACCAGUAUCAGAGACAAAUACUUGCAAAUACACUAAGCUGAGGUUUUCAAGGAAGCUUCCUUGUUUUUUUUUUUGUUUUUUAUUUUUUAUUUUUUUUUAUAAAGCUGGCACGAUAAAGGCCUCAUACUCCAUAAACUCCUUGUUUUCAUUAACCAAAAAUGCAUAGAAUACCGAUUAUUUUUUUUUCUUCACCUGGGUACUGCAAGAUUACCUUAAUAAAAUUAAAGAUAUUGAAAGUUAAAAUAUACAUCGAAUGUGCCCGCAGAUGCUGCUUGUAUUUGUCUAGUUUUUAUACAUGUAGUUUUGAAGUUACAAUUAGUUUGUUUAAAAAUGAGAUUUUUAGAAGUGUUGUUUGAAUUGCUUUGCCCAUGGAGCUUGAGGACUGCUGCUGAAGAACAAUGGAGAAGGAUACGUGUAACCUGGUCAGGUGAGAACGGAUAAUGCGUAGUCAUUUCAAGUAGGAGUGUCAGUUUAACAAAAGGGUAAGAAUUUAGCAUAAAUAAGACUUCGUUCCUUGAAAUUAUACAUAGUGAAUGGGGUGGUGGUAAAGAUGAAAUGCUCUGUUGUAUUAAGUAUUGUUUGACGUUUUUGAAAUAAAAGUAUAUGGUCUUACUACUUCGUUGACAAUGACAUUCUUGCUUGGGGAGUUGCCAGCCUACACUGGAUGGUUGACUUAAACUGGAUGUAGCCUGUCAAGUUUGUUACAGCUUUAGUCAACUAAAGGAGAGGUCAAAACUUCUCCAUAAUCAGCUAGUUUUAGCAGGGAGUGCACUCACACAACCCUUAAUGAACAACACCUUUAUAAAUACAGAAACUAACCUUCUAUGGUACAUACAAUGCAUUAAAACCCGAAACGGCACUAAAAUUUUAUCAAUUUUUUAUAACAUUAAAUACCUUUACAAGUGAGAACUUUAGGAAGGUGAAAAUUGAUGCUUUAACUAACACCUGUGAAUUUACUUUAAAAAAAAAAGUAAGAAAGUUCCUAGUGCUCUAGAAAGUUCCCCUCACUUGAAUAUAAUUUAUACAUGAAAACACAUUAAGAAAAAUAGUAAGAAACUGAUCUGAAGUUCAACGAAGAAGAUUGGAUUGGAUUGCUAUUAAAAGUACUCGACCAAACUAUAUUACAAUAUGAAAGAUGGAUAAAUUAAACUACAGUAAAGCUUAAGACACAUAACCCUCCUUAUUAUACCCGUCAAUAUAGGUCUAUUUGUUCUUUGCUCAUAUAAUCAACUUGUUCCCUCCAACUCGAAAGUUUCAUCAACAUAAACUCCCAAGAAUUUAAUAUUUGACACUGAAGCACCUCAAUUUUUGAUAAAUCCUUAGGGUAUCCUAUAUUUGGAAGUUUAAUAUAAGAAUGUAUGUAUUUGUUUGAAGAAAAAAAAACGACUUUAAAAAAAAUCCAAAACCACCUAUGGAAUGAAGUCAAACAUGGAUAUGUUCUGGAAAAUCAAAAAGAAAUGUGACAUUAGUCAGCAUGGGUUAAAAUCCCUUAGCAUUGUUUCAAGCGCCUUGAUAGAUUAAUACAAACUAUUCUAGAAUCAAAACAUUUAUUUCCUGACAAGUAUACACUGUUGGACAGAGCAACAUGUGGGUUUUAAAUAGGCGCACAAAAACACUUCAUCAAAUGAAAUGUAAACAAGCUGCGGAUCAGCACUUCUGCUAAUCGACUCUCUUGACAUAUGAUUGUUUUGAGCACAGGAACACCUUGUUCACUUCCUCGCCCUCCCUUCCCUUUGGCACAAGGAGGUUUCAAAAAACCCAUGUGGCAAACAGGUGCAAAUUCCUAACUGGUUUUCAACACCAGGUGGCCCUAAAUUGCCACAGUUGAGGAAGGCCCACCAGGGAAGUCUUUUGUAAGCAUUACUGAAGGAAGGCUGACAAGAGCAAUGUGUUGAUAGUCCUUGUGCCACAUUUAGAUUACAGUGCAUGGAUGGCAUCUGUUUGUGAGAGGCAUGAAGCAAUGGAGAGGACUUAGGCAGGACAAACCUCUCAAAUUACAUAGAUGAUGAGGAUACACACCUCUCUGUCAAUGGAAGGAAUGAAGUAACCCACACGUCUCUAUUUCUCCAUGUUUUUCAACUUACUCUGGACUUUAAUAGGCCAAACUUUAAGUUUCAGUCUAAAUGGUAAGUGUUUCUCCCACUUUGAUAGUCCUUAGUGUCAGCUCAGCUGCUUCGGUCUAUCUGCCAAAAGUAAUAGAUGAGACAACUCGUCCCUUGCCUACUGUGUGCUGUCAAUGAGAUGAUGGCAGAAAACAAGGCUUGUGCAUUAUGAUUGAUAUGGAGCCCUCCAGCUAGGCCACAUUGCCAGUCUAUUGAUUAUUCGCCAGCCUGGUCUCGUGGGAGGGCCUGUUCCUUGGUCAUCCAUCAUACUGACUUUCUCCCAUUUUAUACAGACAAGAAUAGUUACCAGGAUAAGAUAUUUGAAAGUGCAGGUGCACUCAGUAUAUAUAUAUAUAAAAUUUGAGUUAAUGGUACACUUCAUUUAGGUGAGAUAAGGUUGUAGGUUGGCUAGGUCAUGCUGGCCUGAACAUCAUGGGAUUUUAAACUAAAUGUAAAUGAAAUAGGCCGUUAUCUUUCUUGAACUAAAUGAUCCCCUUCCAUUUCUUUCACAUAAAACCUGUGAGUUUAUAAAGGUUUUAUUUUUUUAACUAAAUUAUGUAAUCAGGUCCAAAAACACCCUGAUUCACUGCCUGUUUUUAUCAAGGCCAGUUUUUUAAAGAAAGUGGCGUUUAUUCCAUUAAUUAUACCAAAAGGUUCAAAUUAGCCUGAAGAUUAAUAACUCAAGGCAAACCAUUUAUCAAAUUGAUUGUAAAUGUAAAUUUCCUUUUAAAUAAUACACAAGUGAAUAAAACAUAUACAGGUUGUCAGUCUGUGGAUUAUGGUGAGCCCUUUCUGAUUACAAGUUAAUUAACAUUUAGCCGUAGGUGACGAAAGCGCAUAAGUCUUUGAAUCAUUGAACCGAUUCGUUCAAAUCACUGAUUCAUUCAGGAACGUCACAAUUAUGUUUUGCAUGGAGACGUUCGGUUCGCUGUGGUUACAUUUUCGUUGGCAGAGUAAAUGGCAAUAUUGUGUUUAAAAUGUAAGCUUAACAACAUUUAGUCUACAGUUUGUUUAACUAUUGUAUAAAAUAUCAAGAUGCUGUAAUACUAACAUCAAUUUAAAUUAAGUUUGGGCGGCUGUUUUUUUUUCCGGUGUCAGUUGUGUAAAAAUAGAAAGUUAAUGAUCCCACACUGAAAUUGUUUUAAUGUAUACGUAGGCCAAUAUGAUGUUUGACGUUCAGUUUACAUCAAAUCAACUUCAUAUCAAGUUUUUGACGUCCGUUUGAUUUGUAUAUUUGUUCUGUAUUUUGAUGUCAAUUUAAAGUCUUUUCAACAUCAGUUAACGUUACACACCUGGAUUUUCUAAUCACGCCAUUAUAUUGUUUGUUUUCCAACUUUGCAUUUGAUUUCUCACCUCAGGUUAGUAAUUUGUCCAACUGUUUUGGCAGAUCUUAUGAGAACAGAGCAGAGAAAUAUGUGUGAAUCAGCUGUUUGGUGCUUGACGAACUGACCAGCUUUUCGCCUUCAGAAAGUACGAGUUGUGUACAAAAAGAUAAAGGUAGGACCCCAGGAAGAAAUGCUUCCCUUUUGCUUUUUUUCUAUUUUGUACACUUAAAAUUAAUUAAAUUUAAAACAAAACAACAACAACCA